Molecule: ribosomal RNA, 459 nt
Filed under: Nosema bombycis
Lineage: Eukaryota; Fungi; Microsporidia; Nosematidae
Description: SSU rRNA
Rfam family: Microsporidia small subunit ribosomal RNA
Source: RNAcentral
GCGGCUUAAUUUGACUCAACGCGGGGUAAUUUACCAGGUAUAACAUGGUAUAAUAUUUUAUCAUGAUAGUGGUGCAUGGCCGUUUCCAAUGGAUGCUGUGAAGUAAUGAUUAAUUUCAACAAGAUGUGAGACCCUCAUAUAGACAGAUGUAGUGAUACAUAUGAAGGAGAGGAUUAAAACAGGUCCGUUAUGCCCUAAGAUAAUCUGGGUUGCACGCGCAAUACAAUAAUAUUUGAUAUUAUAAGGGAUAAUAUAAUGUGAGAUAUAUUUGAACAUGGAAUUGCUAGUAAAUUUUAUUUAAUAAGUAGAAUUGAAUGAGUCCCUGUUCUUUGUACACACCGCCCGUCGCUAUCUAAGAUGGUAUUAUCUAUGAACAAAUUUAUAAAGUGAAUAGAUAGUACUAGAUCUGAUAUAAGUCGUAACAUGGUUGCUGUUGGAGAACCAUUAGCAGGAUCAUAA